RNAcentral lists this ribosomal RNA (468 nucleotides) under uncultured bacterium. RNAcentral's name for it is "partial 16S ribosomal RNA". It matches the Rfam family "Bacterial small subunit ribosomal RNA", at positions 28 to 507 of the family's 1533-position model. The record is from RNAcentral.
GACGAACGCUGGCGGCGUGCUUAACACAUGCAAGUCGAACGGAAAGGCCCUGCUUUUGUGGGGUGCUCGAGUGGCGAACGGGUGAGUAACACGUGAGUAACCUGCCCUUGACUUUGGGAUAACUUCAGGAAACUGGGGCUAAUACCGGAUAGGAGCUCCUGCUGCAUGGUGGGGGUAGGAAAGUUUCGGCGGUUGGGGAUGGACUCGCGGCUUAUCAGCUUGUUGGUGGGGUAGUGGCUUACCAAGGCUUUGACGGGUAGCCGGCCUGAGAGGGUGACCGGCCACAUUGGGACUGAGAUACGGCCCAGACUCCUACGGGAGGCAGCAGUGGGGAAUAUUGCACAAUGGGCGGAAGCCUGAUGCAGCAACGCCGCGUGCGGGAUGACGGCCUUCGGGUUGUAAACCGCGUUCGCCUGUGACGAAGCGUGAGUGAAGGUAAUGGGUAAAGAAGCACCGGCUAACUACGUG